ACUCAAAUGAAUAGACGGGGAGCCGCACAAGCGGUGGAGCGUGUUGUUUAAUUCGAUGGUAAGCGAAGAACCUUACCAGGGUUUGACAUCUUGGGAAUUUUGGUGAAAGCCAAAAGUGCCUUCGGGAACCCAAUGACAGGUGUUGCAUGGCCGUCGUCAGCUCGUGUCGUGAGAUGUUUGGUUAAGUCCAUCAACGAGCGCAACCCUUAUGAAUAGUUGAAUUUUUCUAUUCAGACUGCCCCGGUAACGGGGAGGAAGGGGGGGAUGAUGUCAGGUCAUUAUUACCCUUACACCCUGGGCAACAAACGCGCUACAAUGGCCAGUACAACGGGCAGCCAAGUCGUAAGACGGAGCAAAUCCCAUCAAAGCUGGUCUCAGUUCGGAUUGCAGGCUGAAACUCGCCUGCAUGAAGUUGGAAUCGCUAGUAAUCGCAGAUCAGAAUGCUGCGGUGAAUACGUUCCCGGCUCUUGUACACACCGCCCGU
RNAcentral lists this ribosomal RNA (484 nucleotides) under uncultured bacterium. RNAcentral describes it as "partial 16S ribosomal RNA". It matches the Rfam family "Bacterial small subunit ribosomal RNA", at positions 899 to 1397 of the family's 1533-position model. The record is from RNAcentral.